This 966-nucleotide ribosomal RNA is filed under the name Triticum aestivum (bread wheat). RNAcentral describes it as "partial small subunit ribosomal RNA". The record is from RNAcentral. Lineage: Eukaryota; Viridiplantae; Streptophyta; Magnoliopsida; Poales; Poaceae.
AUGAAAACUCCACUUGAACUCUUGCUUGGUCAAACUCCUGAUUACAUGUUCCUUAAGGUGUUUGGGUGUGCAUGCUGGCCACACCUCCGUCCUUAUAACAAUCGCAAGCUUGAGUUUAGAUCCAAACGAUGUGUCUUCCUUGGGUAUAGUUCUGUUCACAAAGGGUAUAAAUGUCUUCAUGUUCCAUCUAAUCGUGUGUAUAUUUCCCGCGAUGUUGUCUUUGAUGAACAUGUUUUUCCCUUUUCUGCUCUACCCGCAUCUGUUGCUGCCUCCACACCGCCUGUGCACCCCUCCAGUACCUUGCCUGGUCAAUUUUUAGAUGCUACACAUUCGCCCCUUUUGUUGUCUAACCAUGGCGCAGGUAUUGGAAGAGGCGCACGCUUGCAGCUUCUGGACGAGGAAGAACCACCGGCUCCCUCCUCCACGACCCCGCACGACGACCAGCCGGCCACCUGCAUGCCCCAUGCAGCUUUCCCGCCAUCUGGCCAUGCCCCGGCUCAGCGGACUGCCUCGCCUGGGCCCGGGACUCCUCCGCCGGCUGCAUCCACGCCGGCCUCACCUGGGCCGGCCUCAGCUAAGCCGGCCUCCCCUGUUCGGCAUGCUACGCCGCACUCGCCUGGGCCGGCCUCGCCUGUCGGGUCUCCUACGCUGAGCUCACCUGCGCCAUUCGUGUCGCCUGGGCCAGCUUUGUCCUCCGGUGGACUGUCAUCCCUUGUUCUGUCGCCAUCGGCCACGUCUUCACCGGCUUCCUCACUGUUGGACUCUUCUGAGGCGGUGGUUCCUUGCCGCUGUCACUGGCUCCUUCACCACCACCUGCCCCUGCUCCUGUAUUGCGUCCUCAUACACGCAGCAAGAGUGGCGUGGUUCAACCGAAGAAGCGCACGGACGGGAUUGUUGCCUGGCUCGCGACUUGCAUGGCGCAAGCACAGGCGGAUCCUACUGCUGAACCAAGGCAUUUUCAGGUAG